CUACGGGAUGCAGCAGUGAGGAAUAUUGGUCAAUGGGCGAAAGCCUGAACCAGCCAUGCCGCGUGAAGGAUGACGGCCCUAUGGGUUGUAAACUUCUUUUAUACGGGAAGAAACACCUCUACGUGUAGAGGUUUGACGGUACCGUACGAAUAAGCAUCGGCUAACCCGUGCCAGCAGCCGCGGUAAUACGGAGGAUGCAAGCGUUAUCCGGAUUUAUUGGGUUUAAAGGGUACGUAGGCGGAAACUUAAGUCAGUAGUGAAAUCCCGCAGCUUAACUGUGGAACUGUUAUUGAUACUGGGUUUCUUGAAUAUUGUUGAGGUAGGCGGAAUAAGUAAUGUAGCGGUGAAAUGCUUAGAUAUUACUUAGAACACCGAUUGCGAAGGCAGCUUACUAAGCAAUUAUUGACGCUGAGGUACGAAAGCGUGGGGAGCGAACAGGAUUAGAUACCCUUGUAGUC
RNAcentral lists this ribosomal RNA (458 nucleotides) under uncultured bacterium. Its description in RNAcentral is "partial 16S ribosomal RNA". It matches the Rfam family "Bacterial small subunit ribosomal RNA", at positions 339 to 795 of the family's 1533-position model. The record is from RNAcentral.